ACCUGUCACAUUGUACAGACAUCAAAUACAAGUCCAUCAUCAAAAACUUCGAAUAACUUGGAAAAUUAUGUAAAAUUAUGCUGGUGUUGGUUACCCAUAUGCCUUCACCGCAAAAGCAUCAUGCACUCGGAACGUGUUUUCACUUUUUGCUUCAUAUAUUGACGCCUUACCAAUAGGGAGAAAAAGAAGGGUGGUUCAAAUAGAGAAGAAAGGGAAUGAGAAAGAUUGGGGAAGGAAGAAGAAGAACAAAAGGGAGAUCUAGGACUUCAGUAAUCCGCCGUCUAAAAGAGUUGCAUCUUCGCUUGAUUAUACAAGUCAACCCAAAAUCUGCUCGCUCUCCCUAAUUACAUCAAACUCCCCCAAUCAAAUCCCUAAAGUUGUGAUUUCUCCCUCGGAUAUUAUCCUCCACAUAUUUGUAUACAGAAAUAUGACAUGCAAUUCUUCUAGGAUAGUAAAAGAUGGAUAGCAUAUAUGUCAUUCAGAAAGGAAAUGUAAUAGAGCACACGAGGUUGUCAAAACAUCAGUUAAGCUCACAAUCAGAAAACUCACCAUUCGGUUUCUUCCCUCCUUUUGAUAAAUUCAUCCGCAACCUAUAAAUUUAACAUACCAACGCAUCAAUGACAUUAAAAUAUCCAUGGGCAAAAGUAGAUAAUUCAGUAUCAAGAUUCUUUCAUUAUUUUCUGGAUUUAUGGGCUUUGGCUUAGGAUGUGCACGGAACGGACUGGAAAAGGUACAAAGACAUAC
RNAcentral lists this long non-coding RNA (744 nucleotides) under Malus domestica (apple). RNAcentral describes it as "long non-coding RNA (MDOM_LNC013736)". The record is from RNAcentral. Lineage: Eukaryota; Viridiplantae; Streptophyta; Magnoliopsida; Rosales; Rosaceae.